RNAcentral lists this long non-coding RNA (1374 nucleotides) under Macaca fascicularis (crab-eating macaque). RNAcentral describes it as "lncRNA (ENSMFAG00000049970.1)". Lineage: Eukaryota; Metazoa; Chordata; Mammalia; Primates; Cercopithecidae. The record is from RNAcentral.
GGCAACCUAGCUCACAGUAUUCAUUUUCAAAAAUAAAAUUUUACAUUCAUUUUCCUUUACGCCUUGUGCCCACCCACUUAAUUCCCCUUGCCUUUCAACCCCCAGCCCCACCAUCCCACCUCUGCGAAGUGUGAAAGAAUACAGACUCUUGAUACCUGACAAACCUGUGCUGAAAUCCAAACACUGCCCUGCCUGGAUAGUCUUGGAUAAGUUACCUCCCCUCGCUGACUCUCAGUCUCCUCUUCUGUAAGUGGGCUAAUAUUGCCUCUCUAGCAGGGUUGCUGUAACAGUUAGAGAUGAUGUGUGUGGCUGGCAUGGCCUCUGACACAAAGUAGGCAUUCUGAAAGUGUCAGCAGAAAUGCUGUUGUUCCUUCCAAGUGUAGCCCAUGGCCACCUCUGGCUCUCCACUCACACUCAGACUAACUUCCUGAGGAGUUUACAAUCAAUUUGUCUCUACAUCUCAGAUGUCACCAUACAAGCACCUUGGGUGUAUACAUCUCUAAAGAGUGGCAUUUCACCUCCAUUUCCACAAUCACUUUACACAAUUUCCACACUCUCACUGCUUCUAUAUUGGUUGAACUUGGAGGGAUUAACAAUGUCCUUAAAACACCUUAAAAAGGAGCAUCAACAGACAAAUCAUUCUGGAUCAAGACCAAAUGGCUCAGAGAUUAAAACACCUGUCCAUAAUCACUGACAUUAGCCACUGAUCAUGGGUUUACUCAUGCCUGUGAAAGUUCCCAGACUGAAAGUUCAUGAAUGAAGGAUUUUCUGGUCCUGGAUAUCAUCUUAUCCUCAAAGAUAGCCUGCAAACUCUUCACUGUUACUUAACUAAUAGUUUACGGGGGCUUCUCUGAUGCCUUCAGAUCAAGGCUAAAUUAUUGAGAGGUGGGAUUGGCUCUGCUUCACUGUGAGGAUUUGUGUGGGGGCAGGUGCAGGGCUUGGGAAACCCACGAAGCUGGGUCACAUAGGGGCUGGGAAGCCGCAGAGGGACAAUCUGCUGCUUGGAAGGUGUGUGCCCGGAAGUCUGAUGCUGGCAAGGGUCUCAGGCAAAACCUUGCCCAACGUCUGGCUAAUAUCCACUUACCCUGCAUGCAACGCAGUCCCUGUUCUAGGACCCCCUCCUCAAAACUGCGAACAGAGUCUGCCCUGUUUUUAGCUGGAAAAGUCUAGCUUUAAUACCUGACAUUGUGGGAGGAUUGCCACAGCCAUAUGCCAGGGGCUUGGAGAGUUUGUCUGCAGUGACAUAGUCCAGUUGCCACUCUGAACCUGCAGUGAUGUGUGGCCUGCAGAAGCCACAUAUGCCAUAUAGUUUGUUCCAAUGCAAAUCAAAAUGGAAAGGCACUCCUUUUGAUUUGGGUAGGCAAAGAAAAAAAA